GUUUUAUGCGGAGAAAGGAGUUUGGUUGUGUUGGAGAGAGCGGCGGAAAUGGAGGAUUUUGUGGUGGCGGUUGGAGCGAAGCCGGUGAAGAAGCCCAUGAAGAAGCAGAGGGAGAAAUGGAGAAUGGCUUUUUUGCAGAGGGAGGAGAUGGUUUGAUUUAGCUGUUUCUUGAAGUAAAAGGAAGGAAAGAAGGAAGGAGGAAGGGGUUUUUUGUGUACCAAAUUUUUGGGUGGGAUGGAACUCAUCAACUAAUAUCAUUUAAGAUUGUGCCAUGCAUGCAAAAUGCAUGGAUGAGGUCAUUGAAGCACUCAACCUAAUGACGACAAACUUGAAGAAUUUGAUGGUCUCAAAUGUGGAAAUCCAUGAUCUGGCCACGAUGGAGACGGAAGGAAAUACAUUCGAGUUGUUCAAGGUAGAUUUAUUACAUACACUAUAUUUGUUGAUAGUUCUUAUACAUUAUGUUUGUUCCUUGUGUGGUUUGAAUCAAAUAGGGAGAUAGCCGACUUCACUAGGGAGUUGGAUAAAUUGAAGCGAAAAGAAGAAAAUGAAAAAGAAAUUGACAAUGGAGACACAAAUGACAAACAAUUACAGUUCUGGAAAGACGACAAGGAAUGAUGAUUAUCACAAUAUGUAACUUCAUAGCGAUAAUCUCCAUGAAUUAUCAAAAAUUGGCAUCAAACGAAACAUGCAAGCAAGCAACCUUAAAGUUGUUAUAUUGUUUAUUGUCGUCCCACAUGCCUCCAUAUAAAAUUGUGAUCUUUUGAAGAAAUAUUUGGCUGAAAGAUGAACAAAUGAACUAUAAUUACAAUGUGGAUGUGAUGAAUGAACGAAUAAAAUAGGAAAAAUUUAAAAUAUCUAUGAAUAAAAGGGAAGAUUAUGAUGUUAUGUA
Molecule: long non-coding RNA, 889 nt
Organism: Benincasa hispida (wax gourd)
Lineage: Eukaryota; Viridiplantae; Streptophyta; Magnoliopsida; Cucurbitales; Cucurbitaceae
Source: RefSeq, a predicted model, not a curated record